This is a non-coding RNA of Pelobates cultripes (western spadefoot toad), 264 nucleotides long. The record is from the annotation of a GenBank genome assembly. Lineage: Eukaryota; Metazoa; Chordata; Amphibia; Anura; Pelobatidae.
CUUUGGGUAAAACUGGAUAUUUUGUGCCCGUGGUAAUUAAGUUAGUCCAUUGUGUUUGGUAAUGGUAUCACAGGCAGAGGGGAAGGUUUGUGUACAUUAGCUUGGAGUGUCUAACUGUACAAUACUGUGUUGAUUUUGUGUCCUGUGUUCCACAAGGUCCAUGUGGGUGGUAACCUUGUGGGGAAAUGUGUAUAAAAGAAGCAGCUGUAUCAUUAAAGGACCACUAUAGGCACCCAGACCACUUCAGCUUAAUGAAGUGGUCUG